Molecule: non-coding RNA, 28 nt
Filed under: Mus musculus (house mouse)
Lineage: Eukaryota; Metazoa; Chordata; Mammalia; Rodentia; Muridae
Source: RNAcentral
UGGAAGGCCACUAAGCAUAGACAGGCAU